UUCUGUUGAGAAAAUGAUGGGAAAAUGGUUACUUCAAACCUUCAAAGGUGUAGUCAUGUGCGUAUAUGUGUAGGAAGUUAAUCACCCUCCUUGCAGCUGGAAUGUUGAAUAAGGAGGGCAUUGAUAAAAGAUGGAGUGGCAGCACGGAACACCGCUUAGAUAGAAAAUGUUGUUUUUUUUAGAGGGAGAACCCGUAGAAAAUUCCUUGAAGCAAAGGCGAGAAACAAGAUACUCAAUUCACGUCGGAACAUGCCGGGGAUGUUGAUGAAAAGGUUACCGGGAAAGGUUUAAUGGAUAAGUUGCAGGGAGAGGUUAAUGGUAAGGUGCCGGUAGGGGUUGAUGGAAACGUUGCCGGUAAAGGUUGAUGAGAAGGUUGCCGGGAGAUGUUGAUGAAAAGGUGUCGGGAGAGGUUGAUGGAAAGGUUGCUUGAAGAGAUUGAUGGAAAGGUCGCCAGCAGGGGUUGAUGGAAUGGUUACUGAGGUUGAUGGAAAGGUUGCUGGGAGAGGUUAAUGGAAAGGUGGCCGGGAGAUGUUGAUGGAAAGGUUGCUGGAAGAGGUUGAUGGAAAGGUGGCCGGGAGAGGUUGAUGGAAAGGUUGCUGGGAGAGGUUGAUGGAAAGGUUGCUGGGAGAGGUUGAUUGAAAGGUUGCUGGGAGAGGUUGAUGGAAAGGUUGCUGGGAGAGGUUGAUGGAAAGGUUGCUGGGAGAGGUUGAUGGAAAGGUUGCCGGUAGAGAUUGAUGGAAAGGUUGCCAAAAGGGGGGGGAUGGAAAGGUUGACGGGAACGUUGCCGGGAGAGGUUUUCGGAAAGGUUCUACUUACGUAUUCACGGUCUGGCUGCUGUUGUUUGAGGACGUCGUGUAACAAGGCAAGUAUCUCAUCCCCCUCGAUCUCUCCGCUGUUAUCCUGAUAGUUAAAUCGACAUAUUCAGGUUGAAAUUUCAGGUUAAAAGUCAGGAGGUUCCAAGUGAUGGUUCAUUGUUUCGCCUAAUCCUUGCAUGCUCAGGGUUCCUAGUAUUAUACUCGUAACCAUAUCUUGGCAUAGUAACCCCACUACUAACCUUGUCAUAAUAGUCCCAUACUUUGUUGAAGUCCUCUCUGGUCAUAUCGCGCUGGAUCUACAAUACAAUGAACGUCAGCUUCUGUAACCAACUGGAGGGGGUAUAAUUACUCCAAACACGCCAUAUCUGUGGUUCGGCAAACGAACUCACAAAAUCAAAUCAACACAAAAUCGAACUUUAAAUCAAUGGUAUGUUUUUUUUUGUUUGAACCAAUCGCGAAUCAAUUAAACGGUGAAGUUCGAUUAGCAUUUUGUUCGUAGUCGUUCGUUUGAUCAGGCCGGGUAAAACAUCUUUCGAUAUAGUCACAUCAACGUACCCCAUAAGUUUCGAAGAUGUUUUCUUCCAGGGGAAGCAUCCUAGAUAAAAAAUAGAAUAGGAUUGUUUAUAUAUAUUUCGAUAAUCUUGUGUUAUCUGUUUAAUUGUUUUAUUAUUUUCUAUUUGUCGCACUCACUUGGCAAGCUCAUUCAAAUUGAAUUUUCCGUCCUUGUUUGCGUCAUAUUUCUCAAGCUGAAAUGACAGGAAUUUUUGUUAAGAUAAUCACGACAAUAAUGAUAUAUAUUCGGAUCUCGAGUACUUGAGAUACCUACACAGUACUCGAUGUAGUCAUCUAGUUUCCUGGGGUUGAUAGAACUCUUUCCUUUCAUGGACAACAAUUCGUGGAAAAAACCCUGCAAAGUACAAUGUUAAAAAAACUGGAGUCAAUAUGGGAAUCUAUUAUCCGAUCAGGAGUACGGACGUGGCUCAUGAUUUUCACCCUGCUCCCCGAAGAUAAAGUCCAAAUGUUCAUACUGUGCAGAGAUGUACAAGUCUAGUGAUUGCGUUACCAUUCUAUGCUAUAUUUCCAGAGAUAAUACAAGUUUUGGUGAUUGCGUUACAAUACUAAGCUACACACCCAAAGCUAAUGCAAGUUUUUAUGACCAUUUAGGAUAGCGUUUUCAUUUAGAGAUUGCGUUACCAUUUCGUGAUUGCGUUACCAUUUAGUGAUUGCGUUACCAUUUAGUGAUUGCGUUACCAUUUAGUGCGACCUACCCGAAGCUCGACCGUCUCUAGAAAGCCGCUCUUGUCCUCAUCGAAGCGCGUGAAAAUCUACAAAACAGGCUAAUGGCAUAAAUAUACAAAAAACACUAACCUCUCCUUGGCCACUUUAUCUUUACAAUUUAUCAACAACAAAAGCACAUAUUUUUAUUAUCACCCUACCCAUAGGAGAUAGGAACGGAGUUUUUCAGGCUACAGAUAAAACCAAAAGUGUUCUUUGUCUGAGCAUUCAAAGCGCCUGGCUCUAUUAAUACCCAGAUAUGAAGGCAGGGGCGCAGCCAGGGGGGUGGCCUAGGCCCCCCCCUUCUGGCAGCCAAAAAUUCAGUAAAUGUAUAUAAUUAUCUAAAAUACAGUAAAUAAUUAUCUAAAAUACAGGAGAAAAUGCCUUGAAAGCCCCUUUUGGGUCCCCUCCUGUUAAAAAUCCUGGCGCUGGAAGGCAAUUAAAAAUACAAUAAAAAGGUCAUUAAAAGUCCUGUAAUGUUAAAAGUCUUGAAUCGUGGCACCCCUAAAAGCUGUUUGCUUUCAUUGUUUUUUCCACAAUACUUUACUGGAUGUCGAGAUCGCAUUCUAAGAUAUCGAAAAAGAAGCAAAUCUCUGAUAGAUAGGAUUGGUAAUGCUAAUAAUUAUCUGAUGCUACCUUCAUGAAGUCCACGCUCCCGAUCCUCUUGCCUUCGGAGAGGUACGUGCGCAGGAGAUUCUGCUCGACAGGUAGAAUGUUCUCGAGCUGGAGUAAAGAUGUUAUGAGGAUUAGACACGUGUGCUGGCGUCACUUUAAUUCUAGAGUGCAGCAACCUAAAAUAAUUGAUAUAAAUGAUGACUUAUUUGCUGAUGACAUUGUUGUUGAUGAUUAUGAUGAUGGUGACGAUGAUAAUGAUAGUGAUGAUGGUGAUAACGAUAGUGGUGAUAAUAGAGUAUGGCGUGGUUAUGGUUGAUAA
Molecule: long non-coding RNA, 3024 nt
Organism: Nematostella vectensis (starlet sea anemone)
Lineage: Eukaryota; Metazoa; Cnidaria; Anthozoa; Actiniaria; Edwardsiidae
Exons: 2
Source: RefSeq, a predicted model, not a curated record